Molecule: unclassified non-coding RNA, 301 nt
Filed under: uncultured fungus
Lineage: Eukaryota; Fungi
Description: partial contains small subunit ribosomal RNA, internal transcribed spacer 1, and 5.8S ribosomal RNA
Rfam family: Eukaryotic small subunit ribosomal RNA (bases 1-73)
Source: RNAcentral
GCAAACUUGGUCAUUUAGAGGAAGUAAAAGUCGUAACAAGGUUUCCGUAGGUGAACCUGCGGAAGGAUCAUUACCGAGUGCGGGCCCUCUGGGUCCAACCUCCCACCCGUGUCUACCGUACCAUGUUGCUUCGGCGGGCCCGCCGUCUGGCCGCCGGGGGGCAGUCGCCCCCGGGCCUGUGCCCGCCGAAGACCCCCCUUUGAACGCUUUGUCUGAAGGAUGCAGUCUGAGUCGAUUUUUAAAAUCAGUUAAAACUUUCAACAACGGAUCUCUUGGUUCCGGCAUCGAUGAAGAACGCAGC